This is a long non-coding RNA of Gallus gallus (chicken), 5554 nucleotides long. The record is from Ensembl. Lineage: Eukaryota; Metazoa; Chordata; Aves; Galliformes; Phasianidae.
UUGUUGUCUUGCUGUGGAAAUGUUUUUCUACAGCCUACAGUGAACAAGGGAAUGAAUAGUGUAGCACAUGCCCUUCUCCUUGGGCAACUAUACUAAUAAUGGGGUCUUCCUGUGACCUUCCCACAAGACGUAUUUGAACACCUGAAGUGAUAUAGAGUCAACUACAUGGAAGGAAGAAGGAAUUUAACAUAAGAGCUCUUAUUCCAGACAGGUUUGAAUUAGUCCUUCUUCUCAUGUUUCUUUAAUUCUUGUUUUGCUUUGUUUUGUUUUGUUUUCAAGAAAAUGUAAUUAUUGUCUGGGAAAUCUGACUUCAACUAGCCACCUGCCAAGUACUGACUCACAUCUGUGUACAAGAUGUUCCCAGUGCUUCUGUAUGUAUUUGUAUCUAUUUGCAGAACAUAUCAGAUCAGCUGCUUUCUGCAUGCAUGGAAAGAAAGGAGAAAGAACCUCCAGCAUAACCCAAAGGACAGGUCCUGGGGUUUCUUUCUCUCCAACUCACUCUGCACGUUUCUACUCUCCAUGUGUUUUGAAAGACUUGAUCAGUGUCGCUCAGAAGCAUUGCCAUGGACGCCCAGAAUGUACCUAGUGGCUUCACUGAGGAACUGCAAAACCUCGUCACCUCAGUCCAACCGUGACAUGCAGCACUCCACACAUUUUCCCAUGUGCAUUAUUUUCACUUUUAUCCAUGUGAUCAAACUUUGAAAACUGAAAAGAAGAAAACAGCUCUAAAGAUCUGCAAAGAAUAAGCAGUACCAAAUAACGUUUGAGGGUGAUACGGCAGAAGAAGAAAACGGACUAACAAUUUGUGAAUUACAGGUUUGACACUAGGGGGGGGAAACGCUGUAACACAUUUCACACUCUCAAAUGUUCGCUGUUUUCUUGCUUUUACCUGAGGCCAAAAUCUUGAGCAUCCACUCAUUAUAGCUCAACAGUUCCAAAUGCCAGGGCAGAAUGACAUUGACCAGUUUCUUUUUAAGUAACUUUACUGAGAAGUGGGAAUGUUUGCAGAUUAACUCAAGGCUAGCUUCCUCAGUGACAGAGGAAAGGUUUUUUUUGUUGUUUCUUUUUAUUUCCUUUUUUUUUUCUUUUUUAGUGGGGGAGUGGAUGAUGGAAGAUGAGGGGAGACGAAAAACAUUUGACUUGGCCCGAAGUAAAAGUGCAUACUUCACACAUAUUUCUAACCAACCCCCCAAAACAGUUUCUGGCUUUGAACGUGUUGAACAGGAAGCCAUUUAGUGUUGGAAUGCUUGCUUUGCCAGUCCAAGAAACACACGUUCUUAUUACUCCUGGGCUAUCUAAAAAGGUUCAGGGUGAAAAAGUUUAAUUUAUAUGUAGAAACUUGUUUCCUGUUUUGUUUUUUCCCCCUGUGUGCCAAGUCUGUUUUUUAAACUCCGUGAUAGGAAGCACAUUUCCCAUUUUCUCCCUUUCAUCUCACUUUAUUUACUCAGCUGUAUAUUUCACUUCAAUUUAUAGCUUAUACUCUUACCUGGCUUAAAGUCCAAAGACAGAGCGAGAAAGAGAUGGAUGUUGUGUUUUCAUGGUUACUGAGGAAAGGGAAGAAUCUGGGUGGAGGUGAAGCUGCCUUUAUAUCAAUAUCAAGGGAGUGGUUGAUGGAGACUUUUCUUUCAGGAUGUUCUACAGUAUACAUUCAAAAAAGGUGAGGAAGAGGACACAAGGAAAGCAGUAGUGAGGCAGAGCAGUUCCCUCAUUACUGAAUGAACUUGUGCAUAUUUGAACCCUAUUUACGUUCUCCAAAUGAGAUACACAACACAGCUAUUUCCCUCUGUUUGAACUACUUGCAUGUAGAAGCAUAAGCAACUAAAAAUAAAGUUAAAAUAAAGUAACAAAAAGAAAAGUAAAAUAAAUUAAGUUUACAAAUAUUAGGUACGCCUAAUAUACAUAUGUAUGUGUCCACUCUGCAAGAGAAUUAGCUCCCCAAGAAAGAAGAAAAGACUUCUUGAACAAGGACUGUGGUAUUUAAAAAUUAGAUUAGGACCAUUGCUUAGAACAGAUUUUAAGAAAAUGGAUGACUUUGUUGCUUUGGAGGUGAAAAGAUGCCUAAUGAAAGCCAUUGUACGCAUAACUGCAUGCCCAUUGCAACUAAAGGGAACUAGCAGGCCCACUACAUUAUUGUAGCUCAGUUGUCAAAUCAUUAAGACUGUAACAGGCUUUGAAAUAUCUUGAGUCUUUCCUUUUUUGCUGUCCCAACAUCUUGAUAUUGCCCAAUAAAAAACAUCCCAGCUAUUAAAAGGAGGGAAUGCACUGUGGCUUUUUCCAUAUGCCAUCCUGGGGUGAAAUUCUGUAAAAAUAUCACUUUUCUCUUUUGUACCACUCUUCCUCUAGAGGCCAAAGUAUCUGCGUGAGUAGCCUCCAAUUUAAAGUUUGAUAUAGAUGCAAAAGAUUCCAUCCGUAUCUGCAGCAGAUCCUUUGAUUCUCUACACCUCUAUUAUUAACAAGCCUUCAAUAAAAUAGUCAGUGUACCUCUUCAAAGAAAUGCCCAUUUCUUCAAGAUAACAUGGCUGAGGCACACAGGUGCUCCUACAUGCAAGGGAAAUUACUGCUGAACUCACGAGCUUUUGUGAACCAACAUGCGGCAUUGCUUCCAAUGGCUGCUCAGUGGUCAAGCUUGUCUCUGAAGAGCUUGGCCUACACUUCUGCCAAUACUCCUGGCCAUAGUGACUUCAGGAAGCUGAAGUGGGUCAGGUAUAACAGAACUUGACAUUGUCCAUCUUCCACAUCCUUUUUUUCUCUUUUUCUGAAAAGAAAUCUCAAUAACAGGAAAAAAAGUUGUUCCCCCUCUCCUGUUGGAAUUGCACAGCCAUGCCUCGAGCGUCCUGGAGCAGAAGGCUGCCCAGAAUCCUGGUAGCAACAGAAGAAAAUGAAGAGAACUUGGGAACGAGCUGGACAAGCUACAGCAUGGACAUAUCUGCAGUCUCUGGCAUUUCUGUCUAACCUCUAGCUCUCUCAACUCUCCUUCCCAAUUAGCCAUAAGUGGACCUGCAAAUGACAGCUGAAGACAUCUCUAACUGAUGAGAGGCUCUGCACAAUUCCUGGAAGUUCCUGAAAGGUUAAAUGGUUCAGAAGAGAUAGCAGCUGCCUGUGCCUCCACCUACAUUCCUUCAGCUUCUGACCCGCAUUAAAAUAUAUAAUUUAAUAUGACAACUUAAUUCCAAACUUUAAAGAAAAAAUAAGAAGUUGAUUAUGAUUGGCAUGGAAAUUACAUCCUCCUGUUAGUUCUCAUUUUAUGCCAGCACGGUCAUUCCAGCCUUUGUCAUUCACGUGCAAGCAGGAUGAAGAGCCAGCUCACUCCAGCUUUCUGCCCUGGUGAGUGAGAAGAGCCCAGAAGCAAAGGGCUUUUGAGAGUCACUUGUCACAACUAAGGUGUAAAGCCCACACUCUUACUCAGGAGUAGGUGUUUGCUGAUAAAACCUAGUAAACUACAAUCUGUAUUUUGUGAUUAAGGCUUUUGCUUUGCUGAUUCUGGAGAACAUACUGAUACCGGCUUAAAAAUACUGGCAAGAAUUUUGUAUACCUCCUUGAUCAAAUGGUUCAAGCUAAUUAGAAGAGCAUGUCAUUAUCAUCUGUACAUCUGGGUUGAUAUUAGACUAAUAAGAGGUGCUUUCAUACCAACUGUUGUGAAAACCUGCAAAUCUAACAACUCUCUUCUGUACACCAGCCAAACUCUUGACUGACCUCUGAAUGUCAGCUUAAAAGUCACCUUUUAUUUUAAUUCACUGACAUUGUAAAUAUGUUCUGCACUGUACCAGAUAAACAACCCUCAGAUCCUUUUGGAAAACACUGACUGUGGGGGUUAGUUUCAUGUAGCACUUAUUCUCACUUGAAAUUUCUCUGAGUGUCCUUAGUGUCUUUCUAGAAUCUAACUCAGUCUCAUAUGAAAUGUCACUUACAAAUCCAAGAAAUGAGUCCCUUUCUGAUAAACCUUUGGCUGCUUCCCGUAAGUAGUAUUUUGGGAAGCGGGCCUUGACAAAUAUUUUACUUUUCUCUGAGUUCUAAAAGUAUACAUAUACGCAGAUAUGCACAUAUCAAUGACUUCAUUGUUUAUGAAAGUGAAAAAUCAACCAAUGGAUUAAUGAUUUUGUUUAUUCCUACUUCUUUUCUACUUGUGUUCCUAGUGAGACUUGGAUUUCUUUAAUAUUUUAUUUAUAGUCUAGUUUAACAUUACAAUUUUCAUUGUAUUUAUGCCAACUGGUCCUGCAGAACUGCUGUAAGUCUUAAAAUAAUUUUCUGUAUUGUCAAAAUGCUAUUUAAAGCAGGUUAGCAUUUAAGUAUGGUUCACUGGAAGACAGUUCACUGUCUUCCAGUGACUUCCCAUCACUUUUGCUCAGUUUAGAAGCAAAAGCAUGCUGGUGGUUUUCAAAUAAAGUGAGGCUUAGCUCUUCCUGGCUCAUGUCUUGUCACCUUUAAAUUCAUCCGAGUUGCAGUAUGAUAUUACUGUAGAAAAUUAGGGAGGUCUUGAGAAGCACAAAUGCCAGGAAAGCACCACAAGGUACAAAUCAUUUCUAAGAACCACACAUAUUACUUGUGAUGGGCAAGUGGCAGUGCACAGAGAUAAGAUGAAUGGUAUCUCCUUAGCAACCAUACAUGUGACCUCUGAGAUUGGGGAAAAAAAAAACACACAAAACCACCAUAGUAUUUUAGCUACAAAUGGCCUAAGCCAGAUGGAGAUAAAAACACAUGGCUUAUAUCAUCAAUUUUAGAGAAACACAUCAGGCAAAUUAGACUUUGGUCUAUCCAUAAAUGCACUGGUUUGAAAGAACUUUCCUCUUCACAAAUAUCUGAUAUUAUCUAUCAAGUGCAAUGAAUCCAUCCCUAAUAACGCAUUUCACAGUUGUUUUUCCUUUGCUCAUAUAUAUAUAUCACCAGGCAUCACUAUACUUGUCUGUGAUCAUGUAACAGGUCUUGAGGUUUCCUGGUAAAUAAUGAAGAUGGCAAAGUAGUUUUAGUGAAAGAAGAGACUUUUGCCUAUUCCUAGAAUCAGUACUAUCCAAAGCUUGCCUUGCUUUCUGAAACAUUAAGUUGACCUUUUUAUGGAUGUUUUUGUCUGCUUUUGUACUUCAGGAGCUGGGAAAAACAUAGAAAAAAAUGUCAGCAUUACAAAAGAAAAGUUAUAACUGGGGUAGUAGCAAAUGGAAACAGAAAUCCCUGAAAUCUGUCAAUAAAGUCUUAUACCCAUGUCAUUUCAAGUUCCAUUUUGCAGCAUUAAGGUGUUUGACUCAUUUACAUGAGAUCUGGAUAAGAGGUUAGACUCUCUGAUGUGUUUUCAAACUGAAAACAUGAACUAAAGUGAAGUUGCCAGCACUUGGGGACAAAACUAUUUGGACACUGGGUAAAUUUAAAUGUUAUAGGAAGAGUAUUCAAAAAUUCAGGAGCUGUAAACAAAUGUGGUUAUCUGAAAUUUCAUCAUCAUUUACCUUUUUACUAACCAGAUGAAUAAACCAUGAAUGUGAGAAAAAAAUCUCAUUGAUGAAAUUCCUGUCCCUAGUCUGGAAGUAGCUAUUGAAAUGUAGGGAACACAUUAUAAGGAAAAGGCCUG